RNAcentral lists this ribosomal RNA (253 nucleotides) under uncultured bacterium. RNAcentral describes it as "partial 16S ribosomal RNA". It matches the Rfam family "Bacterial small subunit ribosomal RNA", at positions 524 to 776 of the family's 1533-position model. The record is from RNAcentral.
UACGUAGGGUGCAAGCGUUAUCCGGAAUUAUUGGGCGUAAAGAGCUCGUAGGCGGUUUGUCGCGUCUGCUGUGAAAACUGGGGGCUCAACCCCCAGCCUGCAGUGGGUACGGGCAGACUAGAGUGCGGUAGGGGAGAUUGGAAUUCCUGGUGUAGCGGUGAAAUGCGCAGAUAUCGGGAGGAACACCAGUAGCGAAGGCGGCACUCUGGGCCGGAACUGACGCUGAGGAGCGAAAGCGUGGGGAGCAAACAGG